CCUACGGGUGGCAGCAGUGGGGAAUAUUGGACAAUGGGGGGAACCCUGAUCCAGCGACGCCGCGUGAGUGAAGACGUAUUUCGGUAUGUAACGCUCUAUCAGCAGGGAAGAAAGAAAUGACGGUACCUGACUAAGAAGCCCCGGCUAACUACGAGCCAGCAGCCGCGGUAAUACGUCGGGGGCAAGCGUUAUCCGGAUGUACUGGGUGUAAGGGGAGCGUAGACGGCGAUGCAAGUCGGAAGUGAAAGGCGUGGGCCCAACCCCCGAACUGCUGUGGAAACUGUAUGGCUGGAGUGCAGGAGAGGUAAGUGGAAUUCCUAGUGUAGCGGUGAAAUGCGUAGAUAUUAGGAGGAACACCAGUGGCGAAGGCGGCUUACUAAACUGUAACUGACAUUGAGGCUCGAAAGCGUGGGUAGCAAACAGGAUUAGAUACCCGGGUAGUC
RNAcentral lists this ribosomal RNA (443 nucleotides) under uncultured bacterium. RNAcentral's name for it is "partial 16S ribosomal RNA". It matches the Rfam family "Bacterial small subunit ribosomal RNA", at positions 338 to 795 of the family's 1533-position model. The record is from RNAcentral.